GUGUCAGCAGCCGCGGUAAUACAGAGGGGGCAAGCGUUGUUCGGAAUUACUGGGCGUAAAGGGCGCGUAGGCGGCCCUCUAAGUCGAACGUGAAAUCCCUGGGCUCAACCCAGGAACUGCGUCCGAGACUGGGGGGCUAGAAUCCGGGAGAGGGAUGUGGAAUUCCAGGUGUAGCGGUGAAAUGCGUAGAUAUCUGGAGGAACAUCGGUGGCGAAGGCGGCAUCCUGGACCGGUAUUGACGCUGAGGCGCGAAAGCCAGGGGAGCAAACGGGAUUAGAAACCCUCGUAGUCC
This 292-nucleotide ribosomal RNA is filed under the name uncultured bacterium. Its description in RNAcentral is "partial 16S ribosomal RNA". It matches the Rfam family "Bacterial small subunit ribosomal RNA", at positions 505 to 796 of the family's 1533-position model. The record is from RNAcentral.